UACGUAGGGUGCAAGCGUUAAUCGGAAGUACUGUGCGGAAAGCGUGCGCAGGAGGUUUUGUAAGUCUGACGUGAAAUCCCCGGGCUCAACCUGGGAAUUGCGUUGGAGACUGCAAGGCUAGAAUCUGGCAGAGGGGGGUAGAAUUCCACGUGUAGCAGUGAAAUGCGUAGAGAUGUGGAGGAACACCGAUGGCGAAGGCAGCCCCCUGGGUCAAGAUUGACGCUCAUGCACGAAAGCGUGGGGAGCAAACAGG
RNAcentral lists this ribosomal RNA (253 nucleotides) under uncultured bacterium. RNAcentral's name for it is "partial 16S ribosomal RNA". It matches the Rfam family "Bacterial small subunit ribosomal RNA", at positions 524 to 776 of the family's 1533-position model. The record is from RNAcentral.